This 97-nucleotide microRNA precursor is filed under the name Daucus carota subsp. sativus. RNAcentral describes it as "pre miRNA mir-166". It matches the Rfam family "mir-166 microRNA precursor family". Rfam says of the family: This family represents the plant microRNA (miRNA) precursor mir-166. Animal miRNAs are transcribed as ~70nt precursors and subsequently processed by the Dicer enzyme to give a ~22nt product. The record is from Rfam by way of RNAcentral. Lineage: Eukaryota; Viridiplantae; Streptophyta; Magnoliopsida; Apiales; Apiaceae.
UUUGAGGGGUAUGUUGUCUGGCUCGAGGCCAUCAACUAGCUAGAUUCAUUCGAUACGCAGAGUUGGUGUCGUCGGACCAGGCUUCAUUCCCCUCAGU